This 372-nucleotide RNase P RNA is filed under the name Acidimicrobiaceae bacterium. RNAcentral's name for it is "RNase P RNA component class A". It matches the Rfam family "Bacterial RNase P class A". Rfam says of the family: Ribonuclease P (RNase P) is a ubiquitous endoribonuclease, found in archaea, bacteria and eukarya as well as chloroplasts and mitochondria. Its best characterised activity is the generation of mature 5'-ends of tRNAs by cleaving the 5'-leader elements of precursor-tRNAs. The record is from RNAcentral. Lineage: Bacteria; Bacillati; Actinomycetota; Acidimicrobiia; Acidimicrobiales; Acidimicrobiaceae.
UGAGUUGGCCGGAUGGCUGCAGCAUAUUUAUUUAUGUUGAGGAAGGUCGGGGCUCCAAUGAACAGAGUGCUGAUGAGAGUCAGGAUGGAGUGAUCUGUCGAUUAGGGCAACAGAGAGUAAACCGCCGAUGGCCAUAGAAAUAUGGAACAGGUAAGGGUGAAAGGGUGCGGUAAGAGCGCACCAGCAUUCGAAGCGAUUCGGGUGGCUAGGCAACCUCCACUCGGAGCAAGGUCAAGUGUGGAACAUGGGUCGUUCGUCCCGGUUACUAGAAAUGGUACAGUUCCCAGGUGGACCGCAUAGAUGGAUAGUCAUCAAGGGAAAAUAUNGAAAUAGAUUCCUGAACAGAACCCCGCCUAUAGGCCAACUCACCUA